CCGUGAUUCCGGGAGUAGUGGCGAGCGAAACCGGAUGAGGCCAAACCGUAUGCGUGUGAGACCCGGCAGGGGUUGCGCAUGCGGGGUUGUGGGAUCUCUCUUCUGUCGUCUGCCGGCGACAGGACGAGUCAGAAACCGUAUGGAUAGGCGAAGGACAUGCGAAAGGUCCGGCGUAGAGGGUAAGACCCCCGUAGCUGAAAUUCAUGCGGCUCGUUGGAGAGACACCCAAGUAGCACGGGGCCCGAGAAAUCCCGUGUGAAUCUGGCGGGACCACCCGCUAAGCCUAAAUAUUCCCUGGUGACCGAUAGCGGAUAG
RNAcentral lists this non-coding RNA (315 nucleotides) under Streptomyces sp. NRRL F-6491. Its description in RNAcentral is "bacterial LSU rRNA". It matches the Rfam family "Bacterial large subunit ribosomal RNA", at positions 229 to 498 of the family's 2925-position model. The record is from RNAcentral. Lineage: Bacteria; Bacillati; Actinomycetota; Actinomycetes; Kitasatosporales; Streptomycetaceae. RNAcentral also lists the same sequence under 1 other name.